AUCAAAUGGAGGCCAUGCUUGCAUCAGCAGCGAGUGAAGGAUGCUCACAGGAAACUAAUGUGGUGGGACCUUGUUCUUACAUUUGUCCCGUAUUUACUGAGCCCCCACUAUGUACUAGAAGCCCAGCUCCAGACCAGCUCCACAAGACGUUCCCACUCAGCCGGCAGCCGACAGGUGAACAAGCCAUAACCAGACAGGCCCAGCUGCUUGAGGGCAGGGACUGUGUCUUAUCUGACUCUGUCUCCCAGGACCAUGUAGCAGGACCUCGGGAUUCACUUGUUGCCUCAAUGACUGAACUCUUUCACACCGAAGUGAAAACCACGGAUAAGACAGCACGCUCCUUCUACCUGGAACAUUCCUAUCUCAACCAAAGACCUGGCAGUUCGGCCACAGAGAGUAACUCACCUGAGCUUCUGGGAGAAUUAAAUAACUAAUUCUUAGACAGAGGAUGGCGACAAACAAGAAUAAACUGAAAAUCGCAGACUCUCUAGCAAAAGUGAAGUAAGUGGGUUUUGUGGAUUGUGUCCCCCAAAACGAUAUGUUGAAGUCCUAAUCCCAGGGACUGUCGAUGUGACCUUGUUUGGAAAAGGGGUCUUUGCAGAUGUAAUCAAGUUAAGAUGAGGUCGGACUCAAUCAGGGUGGGCCCUGAAUCCAGUAUGACUGGUGUCUUCAUAAGACGGCCAUGUGAUGACAGAGGCAGAGCUUGGCAUGAUGGGGGUACAAGCCAAGGACUGCCGUCAACUACCAGAAGCUGGAGAGAGGCGUGGAACGGAUUCUCCCUGAGAGCCUUUAGAAGGAACCAAAUUUGCCAACUGCUCGAUUUUUGGCUUCCAGCCUCGAGAACUCCAGCAUCAGUAUUCCAAAGGAGUGAAACCAAAUUGAAAUAACCAACUAGGAUCACUGGAUCAGUGGAAUCACAGAAUUGGAAAUACAGUUGUGAACAAGAAAAAACUUCCCCCAUCCCAAAGGAGUACAGUGUCCAGAAAAUCCAAAGCCAGACUACCAGCGCCCAACACAGUCAGCUCACCAUUAUUCUCCUAAGAACUUCUGGUAGCAUUUUCUUCAACGAAAUGCUCCCAAAUGAUGGUGGCACUGCCCUGCUCCCAGGAUGAGAAGCCGAGUGUACUGGAAAAUGCGAAAGAACCUAAAUACAUAUGGAGGCACGCAAUUGGUGGUGGGGGAGACCCGCUGUCCAGUCUGUGAUAGGAGAAAUGGGUUUUUGUAAAGGAUGCC
This 1233-nucleotide long non-coding RNA is filed under the name Equus caballus (horse). Its description in RNAcentral is "lncRNA (ENSECAG00000047414.1)". The record is from RNAcentral. Lineage: Eukaryota; Metazoa; Chordata; Mammalia; Perissodactyla; Equidae.